Molecule: ribosomal RNA, 484 nt
Filed under: uncultured bacterium
Lineage: Bacteria
Description: partial 16S ribosomal RNA
Rfam family: Bacterial small subunit ribosomal RNA
Source: RNAcentral
AUUGAACGCUGGCGGCAGGCCUAACACAUGCAAGUCGAGCGGAUGAAGGGAGCUUGCUCCUGGAUUCAGCGGCGGACGGGUGAGUAAUGCCUAGGAAUCUGCCUGGUAGUGGGGGAUAACGUCCGGAAACGGGCGCUAAUACCGCAUACGUCCUGAGGGAGAAAGUGGGGGAUCUUCGGACCUCACGCUAUCAGAUGAGCCUAGGUCGGAUUAGCUAGUUGGUGGGGUAAAGGCCUACCAAGGCGACGAUCCGUAACUGGUCUGAGAGGAUGAUCAGUCACACUGGAACUGAGACACGGUCCAGACUCCUACGGGAGGCAGCAGUGGGGAAUAUCCGACAAUGGGCGAAAGUCUGAUCCAGCCAUGCCGCGUGUGUGAAGAAGGUCUUCGGAUUGUAAAGCACUUUAAGUUGGGAGGAAGGGCAGUAAGUUAAUACCUUGCUGUUUUGACGUUACCAACAGAAUAAGCACCGGCUAACUUCGUG